Phellopilus nigrolimitatus is the source of this 72-nucleotide non-coding RNA. Lineage: Eukaryota; Fungi; Basidiomycota; Agaricomycetes; Hymenochaetales; Hymenochaetaceae. The record is from the annotation of a GenBank genome assembly.
GGGGCAAUAACUCAGUGGUAGAGUGCUUCGUUUGCAUCGAAGAAGUCUGGCGUUCAAUCCGCCAUUGUUCCA